Molecule: ribosomal RNA, 1941 nt
Filed under: biogas fermenter metagenome
Description: bacterial LSU rRNA
Rfam family: Bacterial large subunit ribosomal RNA
Source: RNAcentral
AGUGCGUAAUAGCUCACUGGUCAAGUGGCUCUGCGCCGAAAAUGUAACGGGGCUAAGCAUAGUACCGAAGCUUUGGAUAUUAGUCGUCCGUCGUCAGACGUCAGACGCCGGAAGAGUCGUAAGACGUCAGACGUCAGACGUAAGACGUCAGGAAUACCUGACGACCGAAGUCCGACGACCUAAGUCGACCGACGUCCGACGACCGACGACUAAUGUGGUAGGGGAGCGUUCUUAACGGGCAGAAGCUAUACCGUGAGGAGUAGUGGACUGUUAAGAAGAGAGAAUGCUGGCAUAAGUAAGCGAGAAGGCAGGUGAGAAUCCUGCCCGCCGGAAGCCUAAGGAUUCCUGGGGAAGGCUCGUCCGCCCAGGGUAAGCCGGGACCUAACCCGAGGCCUAAUGGCGUAGGGGAUGGACAACUGGUUGAGAUUCCAGUGCCACCAUCAAACCGAUUGAGUGAUGGGGUGACGCAGGAGGAUAAGUGAAGCGUGCGAUUGGAAGAGCACGUCCAAGCAUUUAGGAGGCAGAGUAGGCAAAUCCGCUCUGUGUAAACUCUGAGAUGUGACGGGGAGGGAAGCGUAGUACCGAAGUCACCGAUUCCAAACUGCCAAGAAAAGCCUCUAGCGAGGUUUGAGGUGCCCGUACCGCAAACCGACACAGGUAGGCAAGGAGAGAAUCCUAAGGCGCGCGAGAGAACCCUCGUUAAGGAACUCGGCAAAAUGACCCCGUAACUUAGGGAGAAGGGGUGCUCCGUUAUCGUGACAGGAAACUUGAGCGAGAGGGAGCCGCAGUGAUCAGGCCCAGGCGACUGUUUAGCAAAAACACAGGUCUCUGCAAAAUCGAAAGAUGAAGUAUAGAGGCUGACGCCUGCCCGGUGCCGGAAGGUUAAGGGGAAAGGUUAGCUGUUAAGGCGAAGCUUUGAACCGAAGCCCCGGUGAACGGCGGCCGUAACUAUAACGGUCCUAAGGUAGCGAAAUUCCUUGUCUGGUAAGUUCAGACCCGCACGAAAGGCGUAACGAUCUGGGCACUGUCUCGACGAGGGGCUCGGUGAAAUUGUAAUACCGGUGAAGAUGCCGGUUACCUGCGAUAGGACAGAAAGACCCCGUGGAGCUUUACUGUAGCUUGAUAUUGGAUUUUGGUAGUUUAUGUACAGGAUAGGUGGGAGGCUUUGAAGGCAGGUCGCCAGGCUUGCUGGAGUCAUCGGUGGGAUACCACUCUUAAAUUGCUGGAGUUCUAACCUAGGCCCGUGACCCGGGUCAGGGACAGUUUCAGGUGGGCAGUUUGACUGGGGCGGUCGCCUCCAAAAGAGUAACGGAGGCGCCCAAAGGUUCCCUCAGCGCGGAUGGAAAUCGCGCGAAGAGUGUAAAGGCAUAAGGGAGCUUGACUGCGAGACAGACAUGUCGAGCAGGGACGAAAGUCGGGCUUAGUGAUCCGGCGGUACCGAGUGGAAGGGCCGUCGCUCAUCGGAUAAAAGCUACCCCGGGGAUAACAGGCUUAUCUCCCCCAAGAGUUCACAUCGACGGGGAGGUUUGGCACCUCGAUGUCGGCUCAUCACAUCCUGGGGCUGGAGAAGGUCCCAAGGGUUGGGCUGUUCGCCCAUUAAAGUGGUACGUGAGCUGGGUUCAGAACGUCGUGAGACAGUUCGGUCCCUAUCCAUCGCAGGCGCAGGAGAAUUGAGAGGAUCUGUCCCUAGUACGAGAGGACCGGGAUGGACAGACCGCUGGUGUACCAGUUGUCUCGCCAGAGGCACAGCUGGGUAGCUAUGUCUGGGACGGAUAAGCGCUGAAAGCAUCUAAGCGCGAAGCCAACCUCAAGAUGAGUUCUCCCACCUGGCACUGAGUGCCAGGGUAAGAUCCCAUCAAGACUAGGUGGUUGAUAGGCCAGAAGUGUAAGUGCAGCAAUGCAUUAAGCGGACUGGUACUAAUAGAUCGAGGGCUUGACCUU